UUACUGAGUUUACGCUCUAUAACCCUUUGUGAACAUACCUAUAACUGUUGCUUCGGCGGGCAGGGUCUCCGUGACCCUCCCGGCCUCCCGCCCCCGGGCGGGUCGGCGCCCGCCGGAGGAUAACCAAACUCUGAUUUAACGACGUUUCUUCUGAGUGGUACAAGCAAAUAAUCAAAACUUUUAACAACGGAUCUCUUGGUUCUGGCAUCGAUGAAGAACGCAGCGAAAUGCGAUAAGUAAUGUGAAUUGCAGAAUUCAGUGAAUCAUCGAAUCUUUGAACGCACAUUGCGCCCGCCAGCAUUCUGGCGGGCAUGCCUGUUCGAGCGUCAUUUCAACCCUCAAGCUCUGCUUGGUGUUGGGGCCCUACAGCUGAUGUAGGCCCUCAAAGGUAGUGGCGGACCCUCCCGGAGCCUCCUUUGCGUAGUAACUUUACGUCUCGCACUGGGAUCCGGAGGGACUCUUGCCGUAAAACCCCCCAAUUUUCCAAAGGUUGACCUCGGAUCAGGUAGGAAUACCCGCUGAACUUAAGCAUAUCAAUAAGCGGAGGAAAAGAAACCAACAGGGAUUGCCUCAGUAACGGCGAGUGAAGCGGCAACAGCUCAAAUUUGAAAUC
Molecule: ribosomal RNA, 613 nt
Filed under: fungal endophyte
Lineage: Eukaryota; Fungi
Description: eukaryotic LSU rRNA
Rfam family: 5.8S ribosomal RNA (bases 176-329)
Source: RNAcentral